Megalops cyprinoides (Indo-Pacific tarpon) is the source of this 350-nucleotide long non-coding RNA. RefSeq lists it as uncharacterized. The transcript is spliced from 3 exons. Lineage: Eukaryota; Metazoa; Chordata; Actinopteri; Elopiformes; Megalopidae. The record is from RefSeq and is a predicted model, not a curated record.
UGUAGUUGGGGUAGGCUGUGUGCUUUUGUUUUUCAAAAAUAGGAUUGGGUAGUUUUACAUGUUCUAUUUUGUGUCUGGCAGCUAAGAGAGAUGCCUUGAUAGCGCCACUGUCAGCCAAGUCCAGCCCCAAGCGAUGUCCAUCAGAGAACUUCUCCACAGCGUUUGGCCCCUCUUCCACCUGGCAACGUCACAGUCACACCUGGUUUGACAUGCGCUUGGACCAAAGGGGACCGAUGCCAUCCUCACCAUCCCACAGUUCUUCUGCCAAAAAGAAGCUCCAGUUCAUGCCCUCACAAGGGCUAGAAGCUAAUUACCAGCCCGGUAACAGUGGAGGGGGAUCGAUCGGCGGC